AUGUUUUAUUUACCUGGUCCCGUGCUUAUCACGAUGGAGUUCUUCUCGUCGAGCACCCAGUCGAUCCAAACCGCGAAGCCGUGGCAAGUGCCAGCAUCGGCAAACUCGAUCUACGAGCCCGCAUAUAUAAUACAUCAGCCAGAAAACUAUGUGCAUAUCAAGGCACACAAUUCAGUCAGGAGACUGCACGCAUACUGUAGCCACCAGAUGGGCUCUUUUACAUCGUGUAUCUUAGUGUGCAUGAGAGGCCGAGGAAUGAAUGAUACCCGGGUUUCCUAUGAAUUGCAUUUAUAUAAACUAAGAAAGGUCAAGGCAGAACAAAAUCGCUCCCAACAAACACCUAGCAAACAACUUUACGCUAGUAUCAUCUAA
This 372-nucleotide ribosomal RNA is filed under the name Triticum aestivum (bread wheat). RNAcentral describes it as "partial small subunit ribosomal RNA". The record is from RNAcentral. Lineage: Eukaryota; Viridiplantae; Streptophyta; Magnoliopsida; Poales; Poaceae.